GACGAACGCUGGCGGCGUGCUUAACACAUGCAAGUCGAACGGAAAGGCCCUGCUUUUGUGGGGUGCUCGAGUGGCGAACGGGUGAGUAACACGUGAGUAACCUGCCCUUGACUUUGGGAUAACUUCAGGAAACUGGGGCUAAUACCGGAUAGGAGCUCCUGCUGCAUGGUGGGGGUUGGAAAGUUUCGGCGGUUGGGGAUGGACUGGCGGCUUAUCAGCUUGUUGGUGGGGUAGUGGCUUACCAAGGCUUUGACGGGUAGCCGGCCUGAGAGGGUGACCGGCGACAUUGGGGCUGAGAUACGGCCCAGACGCGUACGGGAGGCAGCAGUGGGGAAUAUUGCACAAUGAGCGGAAGCCUGAUGCAGAAGCGCCGCGUGCGGGAUGACGGCCUUCGGGUUGUAAACCGCUUUCGCCUGUGACGAAGCGUGAGUGACGGUAAUGGGUAAAGAAGCACCGGCUAACUACGUG
RNAcentral lists this ribosomal RNA (468 nucleotides) under uncultured bacterium. Its description in RNAcentral is "partial 16S ribosomal RNA". It matches the Rfam family "Bacterial small subunit ribosomal RNA", at positions 28 to 507 of the family's 1533-position model. The record is from RNAcentral.